This 298-nucleotide ribosomal RNA is filed under the name uncultured eukaryote. Its description in RNAcentral is "partial 18S ribosomal RNA". It matches the Rfam family "Eukaryotic small subunit ribosomal RNA", at positions 1470 to 1796 of the family's 1831-position model. The record is from RNAcentral.
CCCUUAGACACUCUAGGCGGCACGCGCGCUACAAUGGGUGGAAGAACGUGUUACUGCCUCCGAAAGGAGGGGUGAAUCACGAAUUCUUGCCCGUGAAUGGGAUAGUUUGUUGCAAUUUUCGGACUUGAACUAGGAAUCCCUUGUAAACAUGCUCAAGAAUAGCGUGUUGGAUACGUCCCUGCCGUUUGUACACACCGCCCGUCGUUUCUUCCGACUGAUACUCAUUGUGAGUUGCAAGGACCCUUUAUUGGGAAAUUGCUGCAAAUGCUUUGUAUUGGAGGAAGAAAAAGUCGUAACA